CGACGCCGCCGCACCGAGCCCCGCGGGCACCGGGAGCCCCCAGAGCCCCCCCCGAGUGACCCGAGCCCCCCCGGGGGCGACGCCGCCCGCAGCGCUUUGUCUGGGAGCGCUGAGGAACGGGAGGGGGGAACAAAGCGGCAGCACGAGGAGCGGCAGCGGAGGGGGGGAAGCCCGACCCCAAAGGAUAAAGCCCGACCCCAAAGGGUAAAGCACGGCCUGGGGGCAAGGGGCUGAGCCCCAGCCCCGUGCUCGGCCCAGAACCCGGCAAAGACGGGAGAAAGGCUCGGAACCGGGCUGGGAGAGGAGGGACCCGCGCUGGGUGCGUGCUCCAGGCCCUGGAGCUGCCCCACGAACGCCUCUGCAGCUGGGGCAAAACAGGAAAUCAGAAUUUUUCAUUUCGGGUGUCAAACGCACAGCCUGGGUGGCACGGGUAAGCCCGGCUUUAUUAGCACAGAACUUGGUUUUUGGCACCCUGUCCCCCAGCUGCCCCCAGGACGCAGGGGCCGUGCCCUGCAGGAGGAACCAGGCCCAGGAGGCACAGCCCCAGUGCCCAGCCCCCAGUCCCAGGCUGGUCCCAGCCUCGCCACCAUCACCAGCACGGACCAGGCAGAGCCCUGGGAGCCCCAGAAGGUUCUGCCGGAGGGUCCCGACCACAUCCCGGCCAGAAACGGCCGUCCCCAUCCACCCGCGCUGCUGUCAGCAGUUUCGCUGGUGUCACAAGGCCAGAAGGAGCCACGGACGCAGGACUUCCCUCUUCCCCUCAGCGGCUGGAGGAAGGCGACAGCAAAAGCGAAACGACCCAAGGGACGUGGGAACGCCAGCCCCGUGGCACACAAAGCCCACAGCAGGUCCUCAGCAAGCAGCUGCCUCCCCAGGGAAGCUUUACGGGCUCUGGGUAAGGACCUGGGGCCCUGCCUGUGCUCGGAGCAUCCCUGCAAAAGGCGUCGAGCUCGGGGCUGUCUCGCCCUGCUCCCAGCACACAGCGGUGUAUGCAGCAAGAGAAAUUCCUCCUGGGAGCACGGGUUGGUGCAGGGAUGUGCAGCGUCUCCCAGAAUGUGACCCCGUGUCCUGGGGGUGUUAUUUAAGCAUUCCUUGUGGCAGCAGCCCCAAGCCCGCGGUGCCUCAAGCUGCCAGCUUUGAGGGGUCUUCCCAGCUCUGCCUCAGUCCAGGCUCAGCAGUUUCAGGACAGGAGCCCUGGAGCUGGGGCAGGAGGGGGCAUUUCUGUGAUUUUCCCUGGUGCACACAGGUUGGGAUCGGUGGCUGCCCGGGCCUCCCGUCACAUCCCACGGGACAGGGAGGGCACCCAGCUCCCUGCACCCGCAGCAUCCACCUGGUGCACGGCAGAAGCCAUCCCUGAAACUAAGAAAUGG
This 1370-nucleotide long non-coding RNA is filed under the name Anas platyrhynchos (mallard). RNAcentral describes it as "lncRNA (ENSAPLG00020011404.1)". Lineage: Eukaryota; Metazoa; Chordata; Aves; Anseriformes; Anatidae. The record is from RNAcentral.